AGGGCACCACCAGGAGGGGAGCCUGCGGCUUAAUUUGACUCAACACGGGAAAACUUACCCGGCCCGGACACUGGCAGGAUUGACAGAUUGAGAGCUCUUUCUUGAUUCGGGGGGGGGGGGUGCAUGGCCGUUCUUAGUUGGGGGAGCGAUUUGUCUGGUUAAUUCCAAUAACGAACGAGACUCUAGCCUACUAAAUAGGCCACCGGCUUACUGACGUCGGUGGGGCUUCUUAGAGGGACAGGCGGCGAUUCAGCCGCACGAAACAGAGCAAUAACAGGGCUGUGAUGCCCUUAGAUGUCCGGGGCCGCACGCGCGCUACACUGAAGUGAUCAGCGUGCAUUACAAACCUGCUCCGUCAGGAGUGGGGAACCCAAUGAACCUUCUUCGUGAUUGGGAUAGGGGAUUGUAAUUAUUCCCCUUGAACGAGGAAUUCCCAGUAAGCGCGAGUCAUAAGCUCGCGUUGAUUACGUCCCUGCCCUUUGUACACACCGCCCGUCGCUACUACCGAUUGAAUGAUUU
Molecule: ribosomal RNA, 519 nt
Filed under: uncultured eukaryote
Lineage: Eukaryota
Description: SSU rRNA
Rfam family: Eukaryotic small subunit ribosomal RNA
Source: RNAcentral